Molecule: ribosomal RNA, 497 nt
Filed under: uncultured bacterium
Lineage: Bacteria
Description: bacterial SSU rRNA
Rfam family: Bacterial small subunit ribosomal RNA
Source: RNAcentral
GAUGAACGCUAGCGGCAGGCCUAAUACAUGCAAGUCAAGGGGAUAGCAAUAUCACCGGCGGACGGGUGCGUAACGCGUACACAACGUGCCCAAGGGCGGAGGAAAGCGGCGGGAAACUGCCGGUAAUACUCCAUGGUGUUGUUGAGUGGCAUCACUUAACAACUAAAGUACAAGCGCCCUUGGAUCGGUGUGCGUUCGAUUAGCUAGUUGGCGGGGUAACGGCCCACCAAGGCUUCGAUCGAUAGGGGGGUGUGAGAGCAUGACCCCCCCACACGGGUACUGAGACACGGACCCGACUCCUACGGGAGGCAGCAGUAAGGAAUAUUGGACGAAUGGGCGGAAGCCUGAUCCAGCCAUGCCGCGUGAAGGACGAAGGCGCUCAGCGUUGUAAACCUCUUUUGGAUGGGAACAAUAACUCCGACUUGUCGGAACUUGAGGGUACCAUCAGAAUAAGCACCGGCUAACUCCGUGCCAGCAGCCGCGGUAAAGUAGUCGUG